RNAcentral lists this ribosomal RNA (253 nucleotides) under uncultured bacterium. Its description in RNAcentral is "partial 16S ribosomal RNA". It matches the Rfam family "Bacterial small subunit ribosomal RNA", at positions 524 to 776 of the family's 1533-position model. The record is from RNAcentral.
UACGGGGGGGGCAAGCGUUGUUCGGAAUUACUGGGCGUAAAGGGCCAGUAGGCGGCCAACUAAGUCGGAUGUGAAAUCCCCAGGCUUAACCUGGGAACUGCAUCCGAUACUGGAUGGCUUGAAUUCGGGAGAGGGAUGCAGAAUUCCAGGUGUAGCGGUGAAAUGCGUAGAUAUCUGGAGGAAUACCGGUGGCGAAGGCGGCUCUCUGGAACGCAACUGACGCUGAGACGCGAAAGCGUGGGGAGCAAACAGG